RNAcentral lists this ribosomal RNA (1383 nucleotides) under Streptococcus sp. 2010_Ileo_MS_VIIIb. Its description in RNAcentral is "bacterial SSU rRNA". It matches the Rfam family "Bacterial small subunit ribosomal RNA", at positions 72 to 1442 of the family's 1533-position model. Lineage: Bacteria; Bacillati; Bacillota; Bacilli; Lactobacillales; Streptococcaceae. The record is from RNAcentral.
AGAGGAGCUUGCUCUUCUUGGAUGAGUUGCGAACGGGUGAGUAACGCGUAGGUAACCUGCCUUGUAGCGGGGGAUAACUAUUGGAAACGAUAGCUAAUACCGCAUAACAAUGGAUGACACAUGUCAUUUAUUUGAAAGGGGCAAUUGCUCCACUACAAGAUGGACCUGCGUUGUAUUAGCUAGUAGGUGAGGUAACGGCUCACCUAGGCGACGAUACAUAGCCGACCUGAGAGGGUGAUCGGCCACACUGGGACUGAGACACGGCCCAGACUCCUACGGGAGGCAGCAGUAGGGAAUCUUCGGCAAUGGGGGCAACCCUGACCGAGCAACGCCGCGUGAGUGAAGAAGGUUUUCGGAUCGUAAAGCUCUGUUGUAAGUCAAGAACGAGUGUGAGAGUGGAAAGUUCACACUGUGACGGUAGCUUACCAGAAAGGGACGGCUAACUACGUGCCAGCAGCCGCGGUAAUACGUAGGUCCCGAGCGUUGUCCGGAUUUAUUGGGCGUAAAGCGAGCGCAGGCGGUUUGAUAAGUCUGAAGUUAAAGGCUGUGGCUCAACCAUAGUUCGCUUUGGAAACUGUCAAACUUGAGUGCAGAAGGGGAGAGUGGAAUUCCAUGUGUAGCGGUGAAAUGCGUAGAUAUAUGGAGGAACACCGGUGGCGAAAGCGGCUCUCUGGUCUGUAACUGACGCUGAGGCUCGAAAGCGUGGGGAGCGAACAGGAUUAGAUACCCUGGUAGUCCACGCCGUAAACGAUGAGUGCUAGGUGUUGGAUCCUUUCCGGGAUUCAGUGCCGCAGCUAACGCAUUAAGCACUCCGCCUGGGGAGUACGACCGCAAGGUUGAAACUCAAAGGAAUUGACGGGGGCCCGCACAAGCGGUGGAGCAUGUGGUUUAAUUCGAAGCAACGCGAAGAACCUUACCAGGUCUUGACAUCCCGAUGCUAUUUCUAGAGAUAGAAAGUUACUUCGGUACAUCGGUGACAGGUGGUGCAUGGUUGUCGUCAGCUCGUGUCGUGAGAUGUUGGGUUAAGUCCCGCAACGAGCGCAACCCCUAUUGUUAGUUGCCAUCAUUCAGUUGGGCACUCUAGCGAGACUGCCGGUAAUAAACCGGAGGAAGGUGGGGAUGACGUCAAAUCAUCAUGCCCCUUAUGACCUGGGCUACACACGUGCUACAAUGGUUGGUACAACGAGUUGCGAGUCGGUGACGGCAAGCUAAUCUCUUAAAGCCAAUCUCAGUUCGGAUUGUAGGCUGCAACUCGCCUACAUGAAGUCGGAAUCGCUAGUAAUCGCGGAUCAGCACGCCGCGGUGAAUACGUUCCCGGGCCUUGUACACACCGCCCGUCACACCACGAGAGUUUGUAACACCCGAAGUCGGUGAGGUAACCUU